AUUGAACGCUGGCGGCAUGCCUAACACAUGCAAGUCGAACGGUAACAGCCCUUCGGGCGCUGACGAGUGGCGGACGGGUGAGUAACGCGUGGGAAUCUGCCUAGUAGUGGGGGACAACCUGGGGGAAACUCAGGCUAAUACCGCAUACGCCCUACGGGGGAAAGCAGGGGAUCUUCGGACCUUGCGCUAUUAGAUGAGCCUGCGUCGGAUUAGCUUGUUGGUGGGGUAAAGGCCUACCAAGGCGACGAUCCGUAGCUGGUUUGAGAGGACGAUCAGCCACACUGGGACUGAGACACGGCCCAGACUCCUACGGGAGGCAGCAGUGGGGAAUAUUGGACAAUGGGGGCAACCCUGAUCCAGCAAUGCCGCGUGUGUGAAGAAGGCCUGCGGGUUGUAAAGCACUUUCGGAUGGGAAGAAAAGCUCAAGGCUAAUAUCCUUGAGUCUUGACGUUACUAUCAGAAGAAGCACCGGCUAACUCUGUG
This 483-nucleotide ribosomal RNA is filed under the name uncultured bacterium. RNAcentral's name for it is "bacterial SSU rRNA". It matches the Rfam family "Bacterial small subunit ribosomal RNA", at positions 30 to 507 of the family's 1533-position model. The record is from RNAcentral.